Molecule: long non-coding RNA, 8931 nt
Filed under: Jatropha curcas
Lineage: Eukaryota; Viridiplantae; Streptophyta; Magnoliopsida; Malpighiales; Euphorbiaceae
Description: long non-coding RNA (JCUR_LNC000855)
Source: RNAcentral
AAAAUUAUAAUGUUCCAAAAGAACCACCAAUCAGACUCGACCAUGCUUAAGAAGUGGUGAAGUCGCAAGUCGCAACGUGCGAUUCAGCAAUCACAAUACACCAAACUUCUUCUUCCAUGGCGUCUCUGUGGUGACUGUUGAUUCUUCGAAAGUAUCGUCUUCUUUCCUAGCCAUCUCUGAUAGUUUAGAGUCUUCCUUCUGUCUUCUGCAAAAGCAAAUGAAACCCACCAAUUUUUUCCAGUAAAGCCACAAACUUUACCUGGAAAACUGCCUCUUUCUUUUUUUUUUUUUUUUUUUUUUUUUUUUUUUUUUUUUUGUAAAANNNNNNNNNNNNNNNNNNNNNNNNNNNNNNNNNNNNNNNNNNNNNNNNNNNNNNNNNNNNNNNNNNNNNNNNNNNNNNNNNNNNNNNNNNNNNNNNNNNNNNNNNNNNNNNNNNNNNNNNNNNNNNNNNNNNNNNNNNNNNNNNNNNNNNNNNNNNNNNNNUUUUUUGUUUUUUUUUUUUUUCCGUCGGAAAAAUCCUUAAUGGGAAAUUGUGGCUUGUUCGAUCUAGAGAAGCACUUUGCAUUCUACGGCGCGUAUCAUAGUAACUCGAUAAACAUAGCGAUUCAUAUGAUAUUUGUUUGGCCAAUCUUUUUCACCACUCUUCUCAUACUUUACUUUACUCCUUCUCUGAUUAAUCUGGACUUCUCUCUGUUUGGUAACGAGUUUAUUCUGCUUUUCAAUUUUGGAUUCUUGUUUGCUUUGAUCUAUGCUCUGUUUUAUAUAUGUCUGGAUGCGAAAGCUGGUUCCUUGGCUGCUUUGCUUUGCUGUUUAUGUUGGGUGACUAGUAGUUUUUUGGCUGCUUGGCUCGGGUUUUCUCUUGCUUGGAAGGUAAAAAUUUUGUCUUUAUAUUAUUUUUUUAUUAUGGAUUUAAUGUGGGUAUCCUUUUUUUUUCUCUUUUUAAUCUAAAUUUAUUUUACAUUGGACUGUUCACCAUUUCUGAAUUUGUUCAUGUAGAAAUUAUAUAAGCUUUUAGGAGAAUUAUGUUUGGGUUUUUGAAUCAUCAUAUUUGAUUGGUGCUAAUGAUAGAUUACAAGUUUUUGGAAAUAGAAAAUUGGAUCAAUGGUUGACCAUAACUUUCGAUUCACAGGCCUUUAGCUCAUAUAUAAUUUUAUAUUUCUUUUAAAUAAGGCUUCACUAUAAUGGCCAUAACUAUAUGUUUAUUGUUCCUUCCAUUUUUCUGUUCGACUGGAAUACGCCGUUGAAUUUUUCAAAAACAAAAGUGGUAACUUUAUUUGCUUGUGCCUUCAUGAUGCAAUUUUUCAGUUUUCACUAUUUUUAUCCAAUGGAAUUUUUCUUUAAUUUUGUUUCAUUUUUUCUCUUGAACCAUGACCAUUUGUUGUCAUUUUAAUAUUAUUACAAUUUUAUUUUUCAUUUUGUCAAAAUGUAUUUUUAAUAGAAUGAUUUGAUUUUGAUUCUAGCUUGUACUUCGAAAUAUGAAUGCACUAGUUAGAUUUGAGGUUAGAAGUCGAACAUUUGGUGGUUCCUUACUGGUUAUGUUUUGCUGUCUCUGAAUUUGCCCUUGUCUGUCCAAGAUGAUUAUUUGUUAUUCUGAUGUGGUUUUCAUGAUGUUUGGUGGCUAAAGGUAUCUCAUUAAAUAGCUAUCUAUAUACUUCCUAUUUUGGCUUGUUUUUGUUACUUCCUCCAUCAACCAAUCUUACUUUGCUCCUUUAGUUUCAGGGUGGUUCUGUCUGGAACCAUGUUCCUUCAUUUUCACCUUUCAUCUUGGUUUUUAUGCGUGCAAUAAUUUAAGCUGUGUUUUAAACUAAGUUGUAACUUAGUUUAAAACAUAAGCUAGGGAGAUAAUGACAUUUAGAGUUGUGUUUGUCAAGAUAAGUUUGGCCUUGCAAAAUGCAGUUAUGGUCAUACUUGAUUUUUUUCAGUAAGUGAAGGUAGAUUUAGUCAUUGUGAAGCAUCUUGUUGCUUCUAGAACUUUUGUUGAGGUUUCCAUAUGGAAUAUAAACCUCUACCAAAAAUUUAAACUCAAUGAGAUGCUUCACUAUGAUUGCAUCUACUUUCAUUUACUAAAAAAUCAAGAAUGGAAAUAAAAAGAUUCAUAUGGCCCCCAAGUAGUUUGUGAUUAAGGCUUAGUUGUUAUUGUUUAUAUGAAAUAUAGUUUGCAUGCUUUAGUAGCAGAUCUUUAUGUGGUAGAAUGGUUAGUGGUUAAAUCCUAUUUUCUUUCUUUAUUUGGCUAUCUGAAAGUCAAUAAAAAGCAAAUUAAUAUGUUAUGAACAGCUGCAGGACCAGAAGUAACACUGGUUCCCUGAAUUUCUGUUGGGUAUAUAAUUAUUUCAGUUCUUCCUUUUUGAAAGAUCUUAAUUCAUAGCUAAUCCUUUGAUCAGCUGUGCAUUACGAAAAUUAAAUUAGAUCUAUUCACAAUGAACAUACAUUAUAUUGUGGAAUGCAUAUCAUAUUCCAUAUUUGGAUCACUGUUUUCCUUUGCAAUAUUACCAAUGCUUUGAGAAUUUUUGACUUUGGAGUUGAUAAGAAGGUUUUAGAAUUAUUGCAGUAAAGUUAACUGUCAUGUAAUCUAAAAUAAAUUAUUGUUCUUUCUAUGCCAUAGGGGAUAUUGAGAUUGAGAUAGAAUUGAUACCAUGGCUUAAUGAGGCUAACAUAUUUUUAGCAAAUAAAUGAGAUAGACAUGAUGAAAGUAGUUAAUCUGGAGUAAACCAAUUUUUAGAUAUUGACACUCUAGAAGGAUAAUGUAAACUGAUAUGGAGAUUCACUUGCUUUGUCAGAUUGGCAUAAAAAAUCUUAAAUCAACAAAAUUAUUGCUUAUCUUGGAUUGCGUGAAAGCAUGUAUAUUGACUAUUGGAUCAUUUCCUUCUAAGAACAUCUCUACACUGUAAAUUGAUCACGUUGUUGGGGAGUGUAUGUGUGUAUUACAUUGAUUUGUGUGUCAGGUAAUUUCAUCACGUGAGAGGGCAACCAGUCUCAUGUGUUCCGCUUUCACCUUUUGUUACUCAAAAGCAUGACCCUGAGACAGGGAACAUUUUUGUUUCAUUUGGUUUUAUCUGUACCUAACAUUUUGUAGGCAUUUGGUAUGGCUUAAACAUCACCAUGAGACGGGAGUAACAUUUUAGUUCGUUUGAUUUUAUUUGUGCCUAACUUUAUGUAGGUUUUUGUGGUGGCUCAAAUUGUUUGUUGGACUGGACAGUUCAUUGGCCAUGGGGUAUUUGAGGUAAUUUGUUCUGUGAUUUGUAAAUAUAGUUUAACAACUUUGCAUUCUAUCUCUUUUUGUGUAAUGUCAUCAAAUAUCCUGCAGAAACGAGCGCCAGCUCUUUUGGACAACCUUCUUCAAGCUCUGAUAAUGGCUCCCUUUUUUGUACUGCUGGAGGUAAUUUUGUAAGCUUCAUGAUAUUAUAACACUCUUGAUCUGAAAAGUUUAUCUUUUUCUUUCCUUCAGGGUCUUCAAACCUUCUUUGGUUAUGAACCAUAUCCAGGUUUUCAUGCAAAUGUUCAAGCGAAGGUUGAGACUGAAAUCAAUGGGUGGAAAGAGAAGAAGCAGAAUUUAAUUGUGUAAUUUGAACUGUUGUAUGUCCACAAUUAACGUUAUUGAUCAGUAUAGUUCCUGUUGCUGUAAAAAAUUUGUUAUGUAACGAUAGUAACUAUAGAAAAUGCACUUAAGAACCAUAAAUAUGAAAUACAAGGAUACAACUGUUGUUGCUCCAGGAAACUCUCAAGUUCUCUCAAUCUGAUUGGUCUACGUGCAAUUUACCAUUAGUGAUCAUGAAAAUUUAAUGUGAUUGUUUCUGGAACUGUUAUCACUAGCAAAUGCAGUUCCAAUUCGAUGUCAGGGUCCUGUAGAACAUACAAGGAAAAAAAGUGACGCAAUAUUUGUAAGAUCUUUUUCAUCUUGGAACAAUUUAUUGCUCACUGUUUCAACAACUUGAUUUUUGAUUAUAUUAGAAUGAAUUAACAAGAACAUCAUUUUCUCUAGUUGUAUCUUAUGAGCGCCUGGACACUCUAAGCUUCAAGCCAUGUGCCAUCGAUAGAGUUGUCAUCAUCCUGUAUUUCACGGGAUGAUUUGGGACCAAAUGGAACUUGAAAAAUCUGCAGAGUAUAGCCAGUGUCAUUUUCAUCUGCAGAUAUGCAGAGUCUUUACCGAGGCAUAUCCUUGGUCCAGCCUUCACAUAACAUUGACGGAAUGGAAAUGUAAGGUUAGUCCCAUUUAUUUUCAAGAAGCAAUAGAAUUAAAGCUUGUAAGUUUCUCUUGCAAAACUUACUUGAAAUGCAGUGAACUUGAAUGGAGAUGCAUUCUGGAAGAUACCAUCUUUGAGCCAUCUCUCAGGCUUGAAUGAAGCCGCAUCAGGUCCCCAGUUAUACUCCAUCCUACCCAUUGAGUAAGGUACGUAAGUUACCAUUCCUCCAGCUUUUACUCUGGUUCCAUCAGGCAAGAUAUCAUCUUCCAUAAUGCCUUUGGGAUCCUACAAUCAUUCAAUAUCAGCUCAAUGUUUGUUUAUCGUUGACAUGAUUAUUUCACGUUGCAUACUUCUUGUCCCAAAAACUUUCAGUUUUGGACAUAUCUCAGUCUGACACACAUGCAUGUCAUGUGCUAAUUUUUAAGAAUAGACAUAGUCAUAUGCUACCCUUUUUUCAUAGAUAACAUGCUAUGAGUCUUGAAGCUUAGGGUGCCUUGUGGUGGUGUUGGUUGCCCCCCCUCUCCAUGGGAAAUUAUUAUUCAAUAUACUCAGGGCACUAAAAUAUAUGAACAAUACAAAUAUAUCCAAUCCACUUGAAGUUGUGAAAAGUGAAUCCCACAUUAUGAUUGAUGUGUACCGAAUAAUUUCUCAUUCACUAAUUACUAACUCUCCCCUCUUACAGUACUUAACCCAUACUACAAAUGGGGGAGAAAUAAGCAUACCUGAGGGACUGCUGGGUACAAACGGAGUGUCUCGGUUACAACUGCGUGCAAAUAAUAUAGUUUGCCUAAUGAAUCAUAUGUCAAGAGUCCUGCAUAUUGCAUUAUUCUUUGAGUGAAAGAUUCAAGAUCAUCCAAGUCAAACUGAAGCAGCAUAACAUUCUCUUCCUUUGCCCUCUCUUCCUCAAAAGUUUUCAACUCCAUGUAGAGCUUCUCAGCUAUAUCGUUAUGUGUCAUUAUCAUGUAAAUGGCCCAAGAAAGAGUUGUUGCUGUUGUAUCUCGGCCAGCUAUCACGAAGUUGAGGACAACAUCUCUCAGACUUUUAUCUGUGAAGUUGUUUUCUGGAUCUUCCCCCAACUCAAUGAACCUUGAUAAUAUAUCAUGUUUGCCCUGAGUAUAUAUACAAAAUUUAUUUUGAUUAGUAAAAAUCUUGCUUCUUGUGUUUGCUUUUUAUCAUUCUAGCGCAAGAAAGCUUACCUUCUCAUGACCGAUCUUUCGAGCUGCUUCUAUUUCUGCUUUCCUUUUAUAAAUGACGGAGUAAGUGAAAUCAUCAAUGAUUUUGAUACUCUUAUCAAGUAAAGCUUCUGAUCCCACAUUGAGGAAUUUCUUUAUUUUCCACAAUGGAUCAAUGAAACGAAGAGUAACAAUGAUGUUUGCAGCAUCAAAAGCCUGAGCAAAGCAAUUAUCCGGUAGAUUGGGAGCCAAUGCUCCUAUUUCCACUCCAAAUCCCACUUUGCAUAUAGAGUCCAAUGUCAUCCUCAUUAACAAUUCCUAUAAAACACAUGUUUAAUACAUUUAUAGGGCUUAUGGAAGGAUGAACGCGAAAAAUUUACAAGAUUUUUCCUUCUCUCUCUCUUCCUUUUUUUUUUUUUUUUUUUUUGGAGCAUCAGGAGAGUGGGAUUGGAACUUGGGUCUAAGCUCAAGUCGUAUAUGUAUUUACCGCCAAGCUACACCUGCAAAAUUUACAAUAUUUUUCCUUCUCUCUCUCUUCCUUUUUUUUUUUUUUUUUUUUUUUUGGAGCAUCAGGAGAGUGGGAUUGGAACUUGGGUCUAAGCCCAAGUCGUAUAUGUAUUUACCACCAAGCUACACCUGCAAAAUUUACAAUAUUUUUCACAUCUCACCUGCAUGUCUAUUUCUUGGUUUUGAAAAGAUGCAUUACUGAGAAUAGAUGAGAGCUUCAAGCUGUAUUCCCUAAAGACUAUGGUGCUGAAAUCUCUUAAAUUCUUGGAUGCAAACUCAAAACUUGCAGUCUUCCUUUGUCUCCUCCAUAGUUCACCAUCAGCAUUAAAUAUCCCAUCUCCAAGCAGCACUUCCAUAUAUGAAUGAUAAGUCUCACCCUUUAAUUGAUAUUAAUUUCCAAUAUUACCAAAGAAUAAGUUUAGCACAAAAAGAGACUUCAUAUAUAUACAUAUAUGUGUGUGUGUGAAAAUAUUGAACAGAUAAAUACACGUUUGAGUGCUGAGAAUUAUUACCUUUGGAUAAUUGGAAAAGUUGGUCUUAAGGACAUGUUCAACACUAGCAGGAUCUGCAAUGUAAGUAUAUGUUGUGAAUGGCAUUGGAACUACUACAGUUCUCAGCUCAGACAGGUAGGCAACAAGCCAAUCAUGCAUUCUAUCAUAGUUCAUAAACUGCUCAAUUGCUGCCCCUAUUAUUGGCCAUGUUCUUGGUCCUUUUUUGUUUCUCUUUCUCCAUUGAUGGAGAAAAAUGCAUGACAAGGCCAAGCAAGCUAUCAUCGAUAUUCCCAUUUCUUUCUCCAUUAGUUAUAAAUCCUAAAUGACAAAAUUAUGUAAUCCUGUUGAUAGAAAAUAUCUGAAUGUAAUUGUUGCUUAUAAUGUGAAUGGAAAUGGUAAAGAGAGAGUUGGUUGAAAAACAGGUUAGUGUGAAGUAUAGAAUGAUAAUUUCUUUUUUCUUUUCUUUUUAUCACAGGCUUUGUAUGUUCUAGGAUACUUGAAAAUGGGAUUUUCUUGUUUCUUGUUUCUGUUUCUUUUAUUUUUAUCACAGUCUUUACAUGUUCUGAGAUACUUAGAUUAAAUUGCUUCACCUCCUUUUAGUCCUUGACCUAAUGACUCAUUCAAACAAGCAACUAACAGAUAAAACUUAUUCAAAUGGGAUUCCAUUUUCUUGAUGCUAAUGUGGAAUUAGAAUCUUCAAUCUUGCAUCUGACUAAGCCAUUAAGAUUUGUCGCUUUGGAUAUAAAUCACUAUCGAAGCUUUUAAAUAAUAAGAAAAAGAUUAAUCUCAUGCAUGCACCAGACUCCUAUUUGCUUCGCCCAAAUCGCUUUUCCACACUAUUUUUUGACCAGCGUCCAAAUCAUUCAAUUAUUUAUUUUUAGAUAAGUAACACAAUAGCAUUUGCUAAUUACUGGUCUAAGGCUGCAGAGAAUCGUACAAGAUCAUUCCAACCGCGCAAAUCUCAGGUUCAAAUCUCACCGUAAUUACUUGAUUCCACAUUGGAUUUGUAGAGAUUAAAAUUAAUACAAAGAAUCUCCAUUCAAUCAAAAGUAAAAACAGCUUUAAUAGUGAAUGUAAUGAUAUGUACAAAUUCAAGCUUGUCCUAUGUUUUUAACUUUUUAAAGUUGAAUAUUGAGUGUACAAUAUUGGCCUUGCCUAUCUAAUUCACAAUUUUUGUCUAUUGUAACAUUGUGUACCCUUUCACAAACAAUUUUUAGAUGUUCUGAACAACUGUCAUUCCCCAGUAAAUCCAAAUUUCCUUUUGAGUCAAAGCCAGGCAAAUCACUGAAAUUCAUAGACCAUUGGAUUCAUUAACAAUGGCUGGUUCAAAACGCUACUCUGAUUAGCCUGGAAUUUCCCAGAAUCUGUAUAUUGGGAAUUCAUUUCUCCUAGCUGAAAUUUUGCCCCUUGGUCAGUCAAAGCAUUACUAUUGCCAAUGAAGUUUUGGAACUCAAAAUUCGAAUUGUAUGAACCGUUGUCAUUCAAAAGGUGAGAAAUUGAUCCCAUAUACUCAAAUUCCAAUAAAUGGGUUAGAGAACAUGUCCUUGGAAAUUUGAAUAGUUGUUGCUCACUAGCAUCACUGGUAUCAGGUAAGUCCGUUUGGGUACUUGUAUUUUCUAUUUUCUCCUCCAAAUGUCUUCCUACAUGCCUUUUCUUAUAAAUCCUACACAGGACCCAAUCAUCCAACUGAAAGCACCAAAACAAGAAAAAACAAAAUCAUAGUCAAUACAAAAUCCUUAGAUUAGAAGGUAAUAACAAACCAAUUCAAUAAUGUCAGAAGGGCUUACUCUCAUGGACCCAUUAUGCUUGUUGGCUUGCUUUCUUGAAUCAUUUAAACGAUAUUCAUGCAUAAUCCAAUCAGUUUUAACACCCUUAGGUGGCCUUCCCUUGUAAAAUACAAGAGCUUUCUUCACACCAACAUAUUUAGACCCACUAUAGAUGGCCUUAUCUGUACCAGUAGCUUUCCAAUACCCAGAAACAGUUGCUCUGUUAGGCCUCACUCCAUUUGGAUACUUCCUAUCACGAGGGCUAAAAAAAUACCAUUCGUUUUCACCAAAUUCUGCUUUCUCUGCAUCACAAAUCAAUAUUAUAAAUCCCAAGAAUAAAUCCAUAAAAGUUUUAAAAAGGAAAUUCAGGAACUGGGGUUUUGGGUAUUAUAUACCAUAAUUUAGAAAUUAAUUAGUAGUUACCAGGUAAUUGCCAAGGGUCGAACUUGUAAAUAUCAACUUCUGGUAUAAUUGCUACAGGGCAAGGCUUUGAUGAGGCUUGAUUACGAAGAUAAUACACGACUAAUUCCUCAUCAGUUGGGUGGAACCUAAAACCAGGAGGAAGGUUAGAGCUAUUUUUGCCUAGCAUUUCUACUGCUCAAACAAAGACAAAAUACAAGAAAAUAAUAUAAUAACAGGAAAAAAAUAUGGGUUGUCUUCUAAUUAUUAUUUAAGUUAAUGGGUUGUGUCUUGUUUGCGGUGGGGGUGGAGGGAGGAGGAGGGGCCACCCAUGAGAAGUAGGCAGAGGAAGAUGAGGGUUUUUGAAAUGUUUGCAAGGAGAGGGCUAUGGCUUUUAUUUGUGAGGGUUUUUUGU